Molecule: ribosomal RNA, 591 nt
Filed under: uncultured Pezizomycotina
Lineage: Eukaryota; Fungi; Ascomycota
Description: eukaryotic LSU rRNA
Rfam family: 5.8S ribosomal RNA (bases 232-385)
Source: RNAcentral
CUUGGUCAUUUAGAGGAAGUAAAAGUCGUAACAAGGUUUCCGUAGGUGAACCUGCGGAAGGAUCAUUAAUGAGAACUUGCCCUUUGGGGUAGAUCUCCCACCCUUUGUGAACCAUUCCUUUGUUGCUUUGGCAGGCCCGUCUCCGGGCCGCCGGCUUCGGCUGGCCAGCGCCUGCCAGAGGAUUUUCAAAACCUUCUGUUAGUGUUGUCUGAGUAUAAAUCAAAUCGUUAAAACUUUCAACAACGGAUCUCUUGGUUCUGGCAUCGAUGAAGAACGCAGCGAAAUGCGAUAAGUAAUGUGAAUUGCAGAAUUCAGUGAAUCAUCGAAUCUUUGAACGCACAUUGCGCCCCUUGGUAUUCCGAGGGGCAUGCCUGUUCGAGCGUCAUUUUGACCACUCCCGCUUGCGGGGUCUUGGGCCUUCGCCUCUGGGCGGGCCUUAAAAUCAGUGGCGGUGCCGUCCGGCUCUAAGCGUAGUAAAUCUCCUCGCUAUAGGGUUCCGGAGGGAUGCUGGCCAACAACCCCCAACUUUUAAGGUUGACCUCGGAUCAGGUAGGGAUACCCACUAAACUUAAGCAUAUCAAUAAGCGGAGG